AGUCAUAUGCUUGUCUCAAAGAUUAAGCCAUGCAUGUCUCAGUACAAGCCAAAGUAAGGUGAAACCGCGAAAGGCUCAUUAAAUCAGUUAUGGUUCCUUAGAUCGUACCCACACUUACUUGGAUAACUGUGGUAAUUCUAGAGCUAAUACAUGCAAACAGAGCUCUGACCGGAGACGGAAGGAGCGCUUUUAUUAGAUCAAAACCAAUCGGCGGCGGGUUCGCGCUCGUUCAAGCUGGUGAAUCUGAAUAACUUUUUGCUGAUCGCACGGUCUAGCACCGGCGACGCAUCUUUCAAAUGUCUGCCUUAUCAACUGUCGAUGGUAGGUUCUGCGCCUACCAUGGUUGUAACGGGUAACGGGGAAUCAGGGUUCGAUUCCGGAGAGGGAGCCUGAGAAACGGCUACCACAUCCAAGGAAGGCAGCAGGCGCGCAAAUUACCCACUCCCGGCACGGGGAGGUAGUGACGAAAAAUAACGAUACGGGACUCAUCCGAGGCCCCGUAAUCGGAAUGAGUACACUCUAAACCCUUUAACGAGGAUCAAUUGGAGGGCAAGUCUGGUGCCAGCAGCCGCGGUAAUUCCAGCUCCAAUAGCGUAU
RNAcentral lists this ribosomal RNA (597 nucleotides) under Ceradryops matei. RNAcentral describes it as "SSU rRNA". It matches the Rfam family "Eukaryotic small subunit ribosomal RNA", at positions 22 to 602 of the family's 1831-position model. Lineage: Eukaryota; Metazoa; Arthropoda; Insecta; Coleoptera; Dryopidae. The record is from RNAcentral.